This is a long non-coding RNA of Acyrthosiphon pisum (pea aphid), 590 nucleotides long. RefSeq lists it as uncharacterized. The transcript is spliced from 3 exons. The record is from RefSeq and is a predicted model, not a curated record. Lineage: Eukaryota; Metazoa; Arthropoda; Insecta; Hemiptera; Aphididae.
UGUCAAUAAUUAAUUUUUUUUUUUAAAAAGAGGGACGUUAUGUUGGUACCACUGUCCUUCAACGUAUGUGUGCAUGUGUUUGUUUGUGUGUGUAUGUGUGUGCGUCGAGAGAAAAGACGCCAUAUUAUAUAUUGUUUUUGUAACGACCACACAUCUGCUGUUCUCAUGUCAGACAUCAGACGUCAUCCUAUACCAGAAAGGUUAUUCAAAAAAGUUGAUCUAUUAUUUUUUUAAAGCUCGUACAAAAUUGACACAGAAUCGACAUUUUUAAAGAAGACGAUGAAUUGUUUAAAAGCAGUUAUUUUAUUAUGGACCGGCAUCAUAGUUUUCCAUGCAUCGGUGACCGCUAUUGUGGUUGGUGAUAUGGAAAUAAGUGCUGUAAAAAUAAACACUUGUAGAGGAGUGUUUGAAAGUUUUGAAGUAGAAUUUGCUUUUAUACGUAAUGAGAGGACCUAGGAACACUUGUAUUGGACGGGCGUCGAUCCAAAAAGUACUCAUGGAGCACGAGAACGUCUAAUAAUAACUUUUAAACAAUCGCCAUGUAAUGAAGAAAUACAGCGUAAAUUUCAAAAAAUUGAAUCGCCUGUAAA